CCUACGGGUGGCAGCAGUGGGGAAUAUUGGGCAAUGGGCGCAAGCCUGACCCAGCAACGCCGCGUGAAGGAAGAAGGCUUUCGGGUUGUAAACUUCUUUUAAGCGGGAAGAGCAGAAGACGGUACCUCUUGAAUAAGCCAUGGCUAACUACGUGCCAGCAGCCGCGGGAAUACGUCGGUGGCAAGCGUUGUCCGGAUUUACUGGGUGUAAAGGGCGUGUAGCCGGGCUGACAAGUCAGGUGUGAAAGCCGGGGGCUCAACCCCCGAACUGCAGUUGAAACUGUUGGUCUUGAGUAUCGGAGAGGCAGGCGGAAGUCCUAGUGUAGCGGUGAAAUGCGGAGAUAUUAGGAGGAACACCAGUGGCGAAGGCGGCCUGCUGAACGACAACUGACGGUGAGGCGCGAAAGCGUGGGGAGCAAACAGGAUUAGAUACCCUAGUAGUC
This 442-nucleotide ribosomal RNA is filed under the name uncultured bacterium. RNAcentral's name for it is "partial 16S ribosomal RNA". It matches the Rfam family "Bacterial small subunit ribosomal RNA", at positions 338 to 795 of the family's 1533-position model. The record is from RNAcentral.